UCUGAGUUAGUCCAGUCCUUCUUCUGC
RNAcentral lists this non-coding RNA (27 nucleotides) under Rattus norvegicus (Norway rat). The record is from RNAcentral. Lineage: Eukaryota; Metazoa; Chordata; Mammalia; Rodentia; Muridae.